CUUUUAACUGUUAGAAAAUUGCGUACAGUAAAAACGCAGCGGAAAAAUAAAUCAAACAAAUUUGAUUUUUGAAAACUCUCGAGAUCCAAUCCCAAAAACCACGCAAUUAGGAUCCCUCAUGUUCUUUAAGAUUAAAGGAGAAAAGUAAGAUCGAAUCUUUACCUUAUUCGCGGAUAAAUCUUCACCUCAAUUUGAUAAUCGUGGAAUUCGGUUCUCUUGAAGCCGCACACGCGUCCGGCCUCUAUAGGUAUCCACACGAGGUUCUUGAUUUGAUCGAUGUCCUCACCGGGGUGCUAGCUCCCUUGCAAAAGGACAUCUUUUUUGCUAGAAGAUGGAAGAGAAANAAAAAGAAAUCAAACAAAUUUGAUUUUUGAAAACUUUCGAGAUCCAAUCUUAAAAUCCACGCAAUUAGGAUCCCUCAUGUUCUUUAAGAUUAAAGAAGAAAAAACAAGAUCGAAUCUUUACCUUUUUCGCGGAUAGAUCUUCCCCUCAAUAUGAUGAUCGUGUAAUUCGGUUCUCUUGAAGCCGCACACGCGUCCGACCUCUAUAGGUAUCCACACGAGGUUCUAUAUGUCCUCACCGGGGUGCUAGCUUCCUUGCAAAAGGACGUCUUUCUUGCUAGAAGAUGGAAGAGAGAAGAGAGGAUGGAUUACAGCUAGGGUUUUCUAAAAACUCCCGUAUAUUAUAUAUAGGAAUAUAAUCCUAUUCCUAAUAAUAUAAUGACAAUUAAGGAUAAGAAUAAAUCUAGAUUUAAAUUUAUCUUUUCCUUAAUUGGUUAGAUCGAUCAAAUCCUAAUUUGAUUCGACUUGAAUUUUAUAUUAAUUUGAUCUUAUCAAAUUAAUAAUGCAACAUUUGCACAUAAAUCCUCUUAUAAUUUACUAACUAUUAGUAUGUCCUCUCUUGUAACAUUUACACUUUAAUACCACUAAUUUGUAAUAAUUACAAAUUAGUCUAAUUAUCAACAUAUUGACAAUUAGGUCCUCCGACGAUUCAAUAAUCGCGGUCUAGCUAUCCGAUCAAUCACAACCUCUUAUGUGUGUGACCCCAUAGGUUCUAUUCUAUUUGGUAGUGAGAUAUAUUUUGAUCACUAUCAACAAUAUCACUAAAACUCCUUUCAAUGGAUCAGAACAAUUCCAACUCAGCCCAAUGAGAAUUAUUGAUCAUCUAGAUAAUUCUCAUGAGUCUCACAAUCCACCAGUGACGCCUAGCAGCAUGUAGUGGCAUUCCAGUAGAAUAGAAUACUGAACCUCUUGGUGUAGUUACCGUGUGAUACAAUCCUUCUAUCAUGAGUCCCGACUAGACGGAGGUUAUGGAAUAACUCGUCAAACCCCAUCGUCUGUCAUAUGUUAAAUUUAUUCGACUCGAGUUUCUAAUAUCGGAAAUCCUUUUCCGCUAUUUAUUCUGCCCUGGCCAAGGUCUUCUAAACUCGGUCUCAUAAAUCACAUAGGACUAACACUCCUAUCUACCAAGGGAGAUAGAUUCCAUCUAAGUGCGCAUCCUAUUCCUAUAAUAAACUUACUGCAGCCAACAUGCACCGCAAGGACCCGAAUGGCUAGGGACCAAGUGUAUGUACAGUCAAACUACAGUAACCUUAUUGUGAAUAGCCGAGGCACCGCAGGUCAAAGGACCAGUCACACUACUGCAACAUUAAGUAAGUCACUGACGAGUGAGUAGACAUCCAAGUGACUUCUCGCGUUGGUCACGCUCAGUACCCUUGUUCUCCAACAACCACCUGCAUAUUCGCUUUAGUGUCCCCACAUUAUCGACUUGAGACUCGUCUACCCAGAAAGGGAAAUGACCUAUGCACCAAUCUCACCGGAUCAAUCAUCGUCCCUGUGAUGAUCCAUUGAUCGGGAGCAUUUAGAAAUUAACCACCAAUGACACAUGUCUCAAAUUCGCAACACUUGAGAAUAUAUGUCAUCAUCUUAUUAAUUCCUUGGACGAUUCAUGGACACAUAUACAACAUGAAUGAAAAUAAAAAUCUAAAGUUAUUCAUAAUAUUUAAAAGUCAAAUACAAAUUUAUAUCCUAGAAAGAAUA
Molecule: long non-coding RNA, 2039 nt
Filed under: Ananas comosus (pineapple)
Lineage: Eukaryota; Viridiplantae; Streptophyta; Magnoliopsida; Poales; Bromeliaceae
Description: long non-coding RNA (ACOM_LNC022167)
Source: RNAcentral